Molecule: unclassified non-coding RNA, 223 nt
Filed under: Hevea brasiliensis (rubber tree)
Lineage: Eukaryota; Viridiplantae; Streptophyta; Magnoliopsida; Malpighiales; Euphorbiaceae
Source: RNAcentral
AUUGAAUACUAAAAUUGUCAAAUACAAAUAGUGUUUCUCAACUACAAGAUAACUCUCAAAGCAAUCACUUAAUUCAGAAAUACAAAAGAUAAAUCUUCCCAAAGGAAUGCACUCUCCUGUGCAGGAUAGUUCUUGCCUGGCUCUCAGCUGCCACGAGCCAACUUUGUCUGCCUGGCCACUUCCUCUUGGCUGACUGCCUUUAUACUGGUAUUUGGAUUCCCCA